GGGGGCGACUGGCUUCGACGGGUUUGGUGAAGGAAUUGCUGCGUGCCCAGGUCCGGAUCCCUGGCUAAACCGUCUGGAAAAAACCAACUGCCAACUCUGAAUUGGCGCUGGCUGCGUAAGCUGAGCUUCGGCUCGCUUCACGUGCCUCCGAUGUCCUGAGCCCGCCUGGGGCGCUGGCGUUGGAUGACAAAUCCGGGCUGGUGGGUGUCGCCGCUCCGUCGGCGCCCGCGAGAACUCAGGAGCUAGAGUCCGGGAAGGCUGGCGCAGCGCCGGCCCGGAUCGACGCCGAGAGAUGCGCCUACGCACGUAGAAGUGGUUCUGGAAGCUUACUCGGACGAGGGUUCGAUUCCCUCCGCCUCCAUUC
This 364-nucleotide transfer-messenger RNA is filed under the name Gemmatimonadota bacterium. It matches the Rfam family "transfer-messenger RNA". From Rfam's summary of the family: Bacterial tmRNA, also known as 10Sa RNA or SsrA, is named for its dual tRNA and mRNA-like properties. Its role is to liberate the mRNA from a stalled ribosome. To accomplish this part of the tmRNA is used as a reading frame that ends in a translation stop signal. Lineage: Bacteria; Pseudomonadati; Gemmatimonadota. The record is from RNAcentral.